CCUACAUGAAGCUGGAGUUGCUAGUAAUCGCGAAUCAGCAUGUCGCGGUGAAUACGUUCCCGGGCCUUGUACACACCGCCCGUCACACCAUGAGAGUUGGCAAUACCCAACGUACGUGAUCUAACCUGCAAGGGAGGAAGCGUCCUAAGGUAGGGUCAGCGAUUGGGGUGAAGUCGUAACAAGGUACC
RNAcentral lists this ribosomal RNA (188 nucleotides) under uncultured bacterium. RNAcentral's name for it is "partial 16S ribosomal RNA". It matches the Rfam family "Bacterial small subunit ribosomal RNA", at positions 1315 to 1500 of the family's 1533-position model. The record is from RNAcentral.